RNAcentral lists this ribosomal RNA (606 nucleotides) under Triticum aestivum (bread wheat). Its description in RNAcentral is "partial small subunit ribosomal RNA". The record is from RNAcentral. Lineage: Eukaryota; Viridiplantae; Streptophyta; Magnoliopsida; Poales; Poaceae.
AUGGCGGCACGUCACCGGCGCCACCGCGUCGAGGCACCGAAGCCAGCAUGGCUCGUCACGAUCAAGGCCACGCCGCCGGCGCCGGCGAGGGGCGACGCUGCCAAGAACAAGAAGCUCGCCGCGCCCGCUCGCUCGCCGAUUCUGCUGUUGCCGUCGGUGUGGCAGAAGUGCAUGGCCGUCGGUGACCGUGGCGACGCGCCGGCGUCGCCGAGGAUCGGCUGCAUGGGGCAGGUCAAGGGCUCACGGAGAUGCCCAAGAGCGCGCUGCCCGGCCUCCUCGAGGGGACCGGCGUCGUCGGGCCUCCCGUGCGGCAGCCUGGUGGGGAUACUGAUGGGGCUGUUCGGGCGGCGGAAGGCGAGGAAGUCGCGUGCAUACUCCAAGGUCAGGGACGUGGCGAGUGACUCGUCGUCGUCAGGGAGCGCACGACCAUCGUCGUCGUCGGGGAGCGCUCCUGGUGCCCGUGCGCCGCGCCCGCUUGAGCUCGACCCACCGUUGCCGGUGCCGGCGCCGGUGGUGAGACGGCCCGCCGUGUCAGAGAAUGCCCCCAGCCUUUGGGAGCGGCGGCACGGCGGCGCAGAUGUCCUGGAGGGUCUCCAGCUAACGUAG